Molecule: long non-coding RNA, 206 nt
Filed under: Carica papaya (papaya)
Lineage: Eukaryota; Viridiplantae; Streptophyta; Magnoliopsida; Brassicales; Caricaceae
Description: long non-coding RNA (CPAP_LNC002209)
Source: RNAcentral
GGGGCUCAUUUGGUGGCAUGAUUCCUCUUAAAGGUUUGACAAUUUGAAAGUAAAAGUUAUCAUGGUUACACUAUUUCUCUUAGAGAUUUGGGUGUCCACUCUCCUAAUCUUUAGAGCCACGGGCAAAAAUGUAUAGAUUUGGUUAUGGUAUCUCACAGUUUAUGCUAGAACUUUUGUUGUUUGUUUCUUUCAUAUCUUAUCACCGC